This 301-nucleotide ribosomal RNA is filed under the name uncultured bacterium. RNAcentral describes it as "partial 16S ribosomal RNA". It matches the Rfam family "Bacterial small subunit ribosomal RNA", at positions 509 to 808 of the family's 1533-position model. The record is from RNAcentral.
CAGCCGCCGCGGGAAUACGUAGGUCCCGAGCGUUGUCCGGAUUUAUUGGGCGUAAAGCGAGCGCAGGCGGUUAGAUAAGUCUGAAGUUAAAGGCUGUGGCUUGACCAUAGUACGCUUUGGAAACUGUUUAACUUGAGUGCAAGAGGGGAGAGUGGAAUUCCAUGUGUAGCGGUGAAAUGCGUAGAUAUAUGGAGGAACACCGGUGGCGAAAGCGGCUCUCUGGCUUGUAACUGACGCUGAGGCUCGAAAGCGUGGGGAGCAAACAGGAUUAGAUACCCCAGUAGUCCCUGUCUCUUAUACA